AGACAGCAGUCGCCACGGUAAUACAGAAGAUGCAAGCGUUAUCCGGAAUGAUUGGGCGUAAAGCGUCUGUAGGUGGCUUUUCAAGUCCACCGUCAAAUCCCAGGGCUCAACCCUGGACAGGCGGUGGAAACUACCAAGCUAGAGUACGGUAGGGGCAGAGGGAAUUUCCGGUGGAGCAGUGAAAUGCGUUGAGAUUGGAAAGAACACCAACGACGAAAGCACCUUGCUGAGCCGACACUGACAUUGAGAGACGAAAUCUAGGGGAGCAAAUGGAUUAGAUACCCGUGUAGUCCCUGUCUCUUAUACC
Molecule: ribosomal RNA, 307 nt
Filed under: uncultured bacterium
Lineage: Bacteria
Description: partial 16S ribosomal RNA
Rfam family: Bacterial small subunit ribosomal RNA
Source: RNAcentral